AUUGAACGCUGGCGGCAUGCCUUACACAUGCAAGUCGAACGGCAGCAUGGAGGGCUUGCUCUCUGAUGGCGAGUGGCGAACGGGUGAGUAAUGCAACGGAACGUACCGUGUAAUGGGGGAUAACGUAGCGAAAGUUACGCUAAUACCGCAUACGACCUGAGGGUGAAAGCAGGGGAUCGCAAGACCUUGCGUUAUACGAGCGGCCGAUGUCAGUUUAGCUAGGUGGUGAGGUAAAGGCUCACCAAGGCGACGAUCUGUAGCGGGUCUGAGAGGAUGAUGCUGCACGCUGGGACUGAGACACGGCCCAGACUCCGACGGGAGGCAGCAGUGGGGAAUUUUGGACAAUGGGGGCAACCCUGAUCCAGCCAUGCCGCGUGAGUGAGUAGGGCCUUCGGGUUGUAAAGCUCUUUCGGCCGGGAAGAAAUCGCACAGGCUAAUACUCUGUGUGGAUGACGGUACCGGCAUAAGAAGCACCGGCUAACUACGUGCCAGCCGCCGCCGUAA
This 504-nucleotide ribosomal RNA is filed under the name uncultured bacterium. RNAcentral's name for it is "partial 16S ribosomal RNA". It matches the Rfam family "Bacterial small subunit ribosomal RNA", at positions 30 to 523 of the family's 1533-position model. The record is from RNAcentral.